AUUGAACGCUGGCGGCAUGCUCUACACAUGCAAGUCGAACGGCAGCGCGGGCUUCGGCCUGGCGGCGAGUGGCGAACGGGUGAGUAAUACAUCGGAACGUGCCCAGUAGUGGGGGAUAGCUCGGCGAAAGCCGGAUUAAUACCGCAUACGACCUGAGGGUGAAAGCGGGGGAUCUUCGGACCUCGCGCUAUUGGAGCGGCCGAUGGCAGAUUAGCUAGUUGGUGGGGUAAAGGCCUACCAAGGCGACGAUCGGUAGCUGGUCUGAGAGGACGACCAGCCACACUGGGACUGAGACACGGCCCAGACUCCGACGGGAGGCAGCAGUGGGGAAUGUUGGACAAUGGGCGAAAGCCUGAUCCAGCAAUGCCGCGUGUGUGAUGAAGGCCUUCGGGUUGUAAAGCACUUUUGGCGGGAACGAAAAGGACUGUGCCAAUACCACGGUUCGAUGACGGUACCCGCAGAAUAAGCACCGGCUAACUACGUG
RNAcentral lists this ribosomal RNA (484 nucleotides) under uncultured bacterium. RNAcentral describes it as "partial 16S ribosomal RNA". It matches the Rfam family "Bacterial small subunit ribosomal RNA", at positions 29 to 507 of the family's 1533-position model. The record is from RNAcentral.